CUGGACUAAAGAGGCAGACAAACAGGAAAAAUGUGCUAGACAUUCAAUUACACAUUUCUCAAGCUUCUUCCUUGGCUUGUAAGGUGUAACCCCUGAGAAGGAUCUCCAUUCUCCACCCUCUGAGACUUCAGUCUGAAACUGUCAACUACCUGGCCAGCCAGGGUGCAGCUCUAGUCCAGGGUCCUUAUCCACCCACAACUCAGGCAGAGAGUCCAUCUACUGGAGAGCUCCCUGGUUCAGUGCCCCUGAGGGCUGGGACCAGCACUCUGGGCCAGAAGCAGCUGUGAAGGGAUGGGGUAGUAGCUGAGGACAGAGCCAUGGUUCAUAACGUCUCAGUCCCCCAAACACCACCGCCGGCACUGGUGGGCACCAAUGGCCGCUCCUCUGGUAGGAAGAGGACACCCAAGGCAUGUGACUGCUGUGGGCCAAACUCUAAGCACCACAAUGGGAAGGACCCACAUGGGAAGACUCCGGGUGGCAAGCCCAGACAACGCAGGGCCCAGCCGGGGAAGGGCAGGGGCCAGGCACUGGGGGAGACCCCCAAGAGGAUGGGUGGUCACCACUCUUCUGAGAAGACCCUGAUGACAGAGGAGCAGGUAACAGCCAUCCAAGAGGAGCUGGAGAAAGACUCAGUUGUGGAGGAGGUAACCAACUCCUUGGCUCCACCUGUAACCAACUCUGUCGGUCAACCUGUAAUGAAUGUUGUGGCUCAACUUGUAACCAACUCUGUCGGUCAACCUCAACCUUUAACAGACUAUAUGGGUCAACCCUUAAUGAACUCUAUGGGUCAGAAGUUAACGUACACUGUGGUUAAACUGGUGACCAAGUCUGUGGUUCAACCGGUAACAACUGCUAUGGUUCAACCGGUAACAUACUCUGUGGAUCAACCUAUAAUGAAGGCUGUGGUUGAGCAUGUUCCUGAUUCAGAGAUGGAGCAGGAGAAUGGUUGUGAAGGGGCUGUGUGCGAGGGGGAGCAGGCCCCUGGUCUGGAGAUGGAGCAGGAGAAUGGUUGUGGUUUAGACAAACAGCCGGUAACUGACUCUAACACGGAGGUCAUGAAGCAGCCCCGGACUGGUGACGCAGCUGUCUCCCUUUCCAACGGUACAUCUGCUGUGCUCAACGAGGAACCAACAGACUGUAGC
RNAcentral lists this long non-coding RNA (1142 nucleotides) under Salmo salar (Atlantic salmon). RNAcentral describes it as "lncRNA (ENSSSAG00000102304.1)". The record is from RNAcentral. Lineage: Eukaryota; Metazoa; Chordata; Actinopteri; Salmoniformes; Salmonidae.